RNAcentral lists this transfer RNA (84 nucleotides) under Periploca graeca. RNAcentral's name for it is "tRNA-Tyr". It matches the Rfam family "tRNA". Rfam says of the family: Transfer RNA (tRNA) molecules are approximately 80 nucleotides in length. Their secondary structure includes four short double-helical elements and three loops (D, anti-codon, and T loops). Further hydrogen bonds mediate the characteristic L-shaped molecular structure. tRNAs have two regions of fundamental functional importance: the anti-codon, which is responsible for specific mRNA codon recognition, and the 3' end, to which the tRNAs corresponding amino acid is attached (by aminoacyl-tRNA synthetases). tRNAs cope with the degeneracy of the genetic code in two manners: having more than one tRNA (with a specific anti-codon) for a particular amino acid; and 'wobble' base-pairing, i.e. permitting non-standard base-pairing at the 3rd anti-codon position. The record is from RNAcentral. Lineage: Eukaryota; Viridiplantae; Streptophyta; Magnoliopsida; Gentianales; Apocynaceae.
GGGUCGAUGCCCGAGCGGUUAAUGGGGAUGGACUAUAAAUUUGUUGACAAUAUGUCUACGCUGGUUCAAAUCCAGCUCGGCCCA